RNAcentral lists this long non-coding RNA (2056 nucleotides) under Eucalyptus grandis. Its description in RNAcentral is "long non-coding RNA (EGRA_LNC002860)". Lineage: Eukaryota; Viridiplantae; Streptophyta; Magnoliopsida; Myrtales; Myrtaceae. The record is from RNAcentral.
CCACCGGACCACGGCCGCGGGCGCGCGCUCUUCCUCAGUCGGCGGAGGAGGACGACGGAACCAGCGCGCGCGUUUUUCCUCUCCGGAUUUACGAUCUCGCCGGCGCCGCCUUCUUCUUCUCCUCUUCGAGCAUCUUCGUCUCAGCUUCUUUACAUCUCUGGAGCAUCGAAAAGUUGAUCGUCUCGAUUUUGCUUUUUCCCACAGGCGACGACUUCGCCGGCGGCGCUCUACCGCCGAUCGCCGUCGCUUCGAGUUCCUUUUCCACCGGCACCCGUCUUCGGUCGUGGCGCUUUCCUAGAGUUCUACUCCUAGGUGUACCUUCAAGUUGAAAUGAUCGCCCACCAGACGUGGAUAGAGCGGGGAUUAUAGAGAAAGAAUUCUCGAAUUUAGCGGUGAUUUUAUCUAUUGAUUUCUUCUUCGAAUCCUAACCCCUGUCUCUCUCUCCGUCGUCGGUUUCCGUCGCAGUUGCUGGAGGUGCACUGGCCGCCCCUGUUUUUCAGUGAGUGAGCUCGAAGUAAUGUGAACUUUGCUCGUUUUUCCUUUACUGGCUCCAAUCUUCAGUGUCAUUGUCUCUGACAAGUUCUCCUUACGAUUCCAUCGUCAUUCAAGGCCCUUUGUUGUUUUUCUUCAAGGUAUUGGUUAUAGUCGCUUUGCACGUGAGACUGAGACCGAGAAUUCUAGAGUGAAAGCAGCAUCUUAUUGAGGAUAUGUUAUUGAUUUGAGCCUGCCUGGAUGAUGUUGUAGUCGUGUGAUUUUAAGUUGCUGCUUCGUGCUUGCGUUUUCAUUGCUAAGCUGAGAUGCCUGCCAUAUGUUUGUCGAAAUGCCUAGAUGAAGUUGAUGCUAAGUAUUCUUUUGCAUUAGCAUCGAUUUGAUUGUUCUGUAUCUAGACUGAAACAUGACUGAUUGAUUCUCUUAUAACAUUCAUAAAUUGAGCAACUCUGAUUUGUGGCCAAGACCUCUCUUUCUGUUGGUGAUACGGUUUACUUUGUUCUCAGCGAUUAAAUACUGCUUUGGUUUUGUGACUGAAUUUUCAUCUAAACUGAGAGCCCUGGAUAUAUUUUUAAGAUUGAUGUGUUCAAAGUGCGUGUAUAAAAUUUUUUUAGGUGUUAACAUAGAGAAAUAUUCUCUAGCUGCAUAUGUGAGUUGUAGCUUUUCUUUUCGCAUACUAGUUGCUGCUCCAUUUUGGGUUUGGUUUAGACUUCACUUCACAUGCGAUGGACACGUUGGAGCAUAGUGUGCGUCUUGCUUGGGUUGUAUGUGCAAGUGCAUAGUCACUAUUAGCUUGCAUAAUCUUCAUCUCGGUAUGUGCUAUUUGUACACCUGCCGCAUUGUGAGCUCGCUGAAUAUGUCUAUUCUUACCAUACAUGGCUCAAGUUUACUGGAUUCAUUGUUGUUGUUCUUAUUGUACAUGAUCAGGAAUAUGUUAAUUCUUUUGGCUGUGAGUGUCGUACAAUUUCAGAACAUGCUGUAUUAUGAAUGUUGUGUAUAUUCAUAAUAUGUAAUAUGCUAUUGUCAGGUUAUAAGUUUUGUCCGUGACUUAAAUUUGCUGGAUUCAUUCAUGUUUAUGUCCGAUGUCUAUAUCUGUUUGUUAUUUAAAUAACAAUUUCUAUGUGUUAUCUUAGUCAUAUAAGUUGAGGUAUGUUUAACUUUUGAGGAGAUAAUCAUGUUGUCAUGCUUGAAUUUGCUGAAAUUAAACAUUUGUCUGCUGUCCAAGCAUUGAUGAUCUUCAUUUGACUUCAAUUUGUUCUCAUCUUGAUCACGUAGUCCCUGUGCACUUGCAGGAGGAUAUAUUUCAAGCCCAUUACUUACUGAAUAAUCAUGCACUUUGGCCUUGAAUGUUCUGAUUUUGUCCUGGAUUUUGCUCACUGGGCUGUUUUAAUCUUGGGUGUGCUAGUUUAAUACUCAUUUGAGUUUGGUUUUGAUUACCUAUAAUAAGGUGACAAUUUAUACUGGAUUUGUUGGUCAUGGGGACAUAUUUUGGUAUUAUUAAGGUGGGUAACAUGUAAAUCUUGCGAGUUUGAUGAGCUGGACGCUAUAGCAAAUUCUCUUUUGAGGG